AAAAAAUUCUAAAAAUAAUAAUUUUAUUCUGUCUCUAGACUCUUCUACUCAUGCACUAUAUUUUAGACACCUCUCUUCGCCAUUCUUCAAUCUCCACAAUUUCAAUCCUUCUCGAUUCUUCUUUUCUACUUCACAACAGGGCCUUUAAUUUUACGCUCUCGCUUACUUCUUCCAGAUCGUUCGAUCAAUCAAUCCAUAAUCUCACGCGGAAAUCAAAGAGAAAAGGAUCGUGAAAGGGCUCAAGCUAGGGCUAAUAGCAAAUCUAAGCAAGGAAAGAGUGAUGGAUUGACGCCAGAGCAACGAAGAGAAAGGGAUGCGAAAGCGUUACAAGAGAAGGCGGC
This is a long non-coding RNA of Vicia villosa (hairy vetch), 341 nucleotides long. RefSeq lists it as uncharacterized. The transcript has 4 exons. The record is from RefSeq and is a predicted model, not a curated record. NCBI's taxonomy places the organism in Eukaryota, Viridiplantae, Streptophyta, Magnoliopsida, Fabales, Fabaceae.